This 142-nucleotide small nucleolar RNA is filed under the name Camelus bactrianus (Bactrian camel). Its description in RNAcentral is "Small nucleolar RNA U3". It matches the Rfam family "Small nucleolar RNA U3". From Rfam's summary of the family: Small nucleolar RNAs (snoRNAs) are involved in the processing and modification of rRNA in the nucleolus. There are two main classes of snoRNAs: the box C/D class, and the box H/ACA class. U3 snoRNA is a member of the box C/D class. Lineage: Eukaryota; Metazoa; Chordata; Mammalia; Artiodactyla; Camelidae. RNAcentral also lists the same sequence under 1 other name. The record is from Rfam by way of RNAcentral.
AAGACUGUACUUUCAGGGAUCAUUUCUAUAGUUUGUUACUAGAGAAGUUUCUCUGAACAUGUAGAGCACCGGAAACCAUAAGGAGGGAGGAUAAAUAAAUAGGAAAAAAAGCGUUAUUAUUUAAAAUAUCUGAGUAAGUGGC